This 6144-nucleotide long non-coding RNA is filed under the name Homo sapiens (human). RNAcentral describes it as "HSALNT0150487". Lineage: Eukaryota; Metazoa; Chordata; Mammalia; Primates; Hominidae. The record is from RNAcentral.
CCAGAUGUUAUCUCAAGCAAAGAAGAGCUAGGAGAAGUUAAGUUGGCUAUAUAGAAAAAAAAAUGACAAAUGUCUUCAUCUUACCUCUCUGAGCUCCUCAGACCUUCAAUCCAGCUCUCCACCAUAGGUGACUGGAGGCAGCUGGUCUCACAAAAGGCUCUGAGGAUAUGAUUGCUGAAGGAUUCAAUCUCUCAUCGCAGAGACGUAAAGGAAAAUUAAAUGAUUCAUGGAAUUCUCUCCAGGGACACAUGUUUCAAAUAUUUCUCAGUAAUAUUUCACUUCAGGUCCAAAAUGGGACUGGAGAAAUGCAAUGAAUAUGAAAGUCACAGUUCCUAUGGAAAAGCUCAUAAGCUGGCGGGAGAGCCCAAUAGAUGAACAAUGACAAUUAAACAUAAAAAGUGCUUUAGUGAAACCAAGUGCCACAGGAGCCCGAGGAGCAAGCACCUAGCUCUUCCUAGGGAAGCUUUCUUACCUUAUACCAGUGGUUCUCAUAGAAUAGAGAUUUGUGCCUCCCAGUGGACAUUUGGCAAUAUCUCAAGACAUGCAUGAAACAAGGACAAGAGAGCAGACAUAGAAAGAAAGAAACUUCAGAUGGUGAUGUAGCUCUAAUACUUGUAGAAGGAGAGAGAGAAGGAAGAAGGCUGAGCCCCAGACUGCAAUGCUGCCCUGUAAAAGUCUUGGUCAGCCUGAAGAGGAAUCCUUGAGUAGGGAUUGUCCACUAUAGGAGUCAUAUGUUGGGCAAGAACUGCCUGUCCCUAGGAUCCCAGCAUGCUCAGUCACUGGCUGAGAGCUUCUGGGAAAGACAACAGUCUUGGCAUGAAUGCAUGGUGGAUACGGAGAUGUGGCCGCAGAAGCUGUCAGCUGACAAUGCUCCUCUCAGCAGGGUCUUUCUAGAUGGGAGAUUGCUUGGUGCACCCCCAUGACCACCACAAAUAGACUGUGUGUUGCUAAGCAAGAAUUGUUAAAGGACUCCGUCUUUACUCCAAAAAGCUAGGCUGUACUUCUCCCCUGAUGAAGGAGGUUGUGUAACACCUGCAAAUCUUCCAAAAGCCUUUUUGUUGAUAGAGCUACUGCUCUGAUGUUUUGUUAUUUGUCUAUACAAUAAUGGAAGAAAGACCUUUCCUUUUCUGUUGCAAAUUAAGUGAAGAAAAUUUGUGAUUAUACACCACUCUGAGACUACAGUUUCUGCCCCUGGAAUGUUAAUAAAAGGGAUCAAAGCAUGCACACGUGCACACAGCCACACACAGACACCCACACCCACCCACCCACACACAUGUUUUUCUGAAACGAUUACCUAUUGCCUCCACAGGGCAUUGGUUAUAAUUUAUGGAAACUACCUUUCUGUGUACAGACCAUAGACAAAGGAUAAGCUUGAACUCCAGGGUGCAGGAUCUUUUGGAUGUUUGAAGAACGCUUUUUUGGUAGAUAAUGGAAAGCAAUAUAGGAAAUAUCUGAUAUUUUGUGUCAUUUUAUUUAGAAGAAUCCAAGGUGGCAGUGACUCUUUGACUAGCUUCAGUCACUCUUGGUGUCUUGAUUUUGGCAGGUCCUAAAACAUCACGUCAGGGGAGCCAUCUGCCUUUUGUGCUUGCCCCUUACGAAGAAAACACGGUUCUUCUAUUAUGUUGUUGAUUGCACUGGAGCCUAGUGAGUUCCUCAGGAAAUAAUGUGAACAUACUCAAAACAGAAAUCUGUGGUCCCAGCAACCAGUCAGAGCAUGCUGUCCGUGGAAUUAAUGCAAUCAGCCCUCUCGGUUACAAAGAAGACCCCUUAUAGUCAACAGCUGGCAUUUGAACACGUUCGCUGUUUAACAAUAAGGAGUCAUGGCAGUGUUGUGGAUUUAAGAACAAGAUGUGGAAUAGUGUGCAGUCCUACGUGGAAUUUCUUAAAACCCCACUGCCAAGAGUAACUCCUUUGAAAUAGAAGAGAGACAGUAAAAUAAAGAACGAGAGAUACUGUUUUUAGCUCACUUCCCAUCUUUGUGUGUGUGUGUGUGUGUGUGUGUGUGUGUGUGUGUGACAUUUUGAGGAAAGUAAUUCCAGAAUUAAACCUCACAGUGAAAGUGCUUUAGUUGACACCCAGCUUCAGGAAAUUAGAAAAGGACAGAAUUCAUUUUGCCAGCAAGCUCAUCACAUUAAUUCAUAAAAUCCCCAUAUCGAAUAACCCCGUAUCAGGCACUGUCCCUUUGGGGAACAUCACACAGGAGGUAGUUUAUAGGAAAAAAUUCUAAGUUUCCAGUUCCCAUAUAUCAGACAUAGCCAGAAAGCUGAGGAAGCAGGGGCUUCUUAUGUUGUUAUUUUUCCGGAGGAUUUGAUAUAUUUAUUUUAUCUAGAAAUGGGUUUUGGGAAAAAGACAAGCUACUGCACUAUGCCUUAUCAAUGUCAGAAGAGUUAUCAUACACAAACACUCAAUAAUGACUUUAAAAAGUGAUUAUGAACUAGUUCAUUUCUCAAUGCAGCACACACUACAGUAAUAAUCCAAAUUGCCUGUGACUUAUGAGUAUAUUUGGCAACAACCACUAGUUCCCACUGUAGUGUGAAAUUAACACCACAGACUGUAGCUGUGGCAUUUAUUGAGCACAAGGGAGCUGAUUAUAGCCUCAUAAAUUCAAAGGCAACCUCUGCUAUUACUUAAUUAGAAUCAGUAUCUAUGCAUAAAUUACAGUAGCAAUAACUAGUACUGUUACAGUUAAAGAUUUGUCAGCUUCCUUAUUAUAUAACAACCCCUUAUUUUUCCGCAUAAACCUAUAAUUUAGGGAGGUUAUAAGUUGUCUGUAAAAGUUGUUCAGAGGGGAAAAUUGGCACAUGGUAUCUUGGAGGCCAGUAGUGUUUUGUUUCUAAGUAAACUUUUAAAAUAUUCAUCUUGUGCUGUUGCUUUUUUUUUCUUAAAAAUAAUACCACUAAAUCCCUAAUCUCCCCCUAGUAAUAAAUUGUUUUGGCUACAUAUGCAAGUUUUUAGAGUAUAAAACUUCAUUUUAAAACAAGUGUUGUCUUAGUACUUUUUCUUUGGGGAUCCUUUUUAUUUUUAAAAUUAUUAUAAAAUAAACUUUACACACACACACACACAUACACACACUUAAUGAACAUAGACUAUUAUCCUCCAAUUUAAGUUUUAUUCUCUGCUAAUGUGUAUAAUACAUUCACACAGUUGAAAUCAAUAGGUACACUUUCUUUGGGGUCCAGUUUUUAAAUUUUUUGGCUUAACAUUUUCUUGUACACACAUGGGCCUCACCAACAUAGCCCACAUAUGGCUUAGUAUUCUAUCAGAUUAAUCUUCCAAAAUUUAUCAGAAAAAUAAAAUCAUCAGAGUCAAAUGAUAGCCUUGCAUCAUGCAAAGAUAUACUCCAGACAGAAAGGUAAGUUUUAGCCACAGGAAGAGACAAAUGUGAUAAAUCAUCAGGAAAAUAGUUAUCAGGAAUGUGGAACAGGUCCAUGAAAUAAAAUGAAUCCAUUAAUUUGUUGGCACUAUACUGUGUUUUUAAAUAUCAUUUGGAUAAAUUAACUAUUUUUCAACUAGAUGUUUUUCUGCUGUGUAGAUGCUACCUAAUUCAUUUACAAAGUUAGGGCCAUAUUAUUUACAAAAUGAGAAACUGCAUACAAAGAGGCAGGAUAGCUUGCUUUUUGCUUUCAGUGACACUCAAUAAUCUUUUUAUUCUUAAGAUAGAUAUAGUUUACCCUUCAGCAAUACAAUAUUUCUAAAAAAAAUCACACUUUCACAUUUGUCUCUGUAUAAUUGUUUUAAAACAUACCAGGCUGAUAAUUUGAAAUAUAGUCUAUAUUAUUGCUAAUAUUAAAUUACUACCAUUGUUAUUAUUAUUAGACAUUCCAAAAAGUGCUUUUCCAGCCUGCCUUUCCUUGAUCAUUGUUGGGGUGUAGGUGUCUUAAUGGUAGGAACAUAAAGUAAACAAAUUUUUUUUCUCCACACCCAGAAAUAAUUGUUAUUUAUUCUGGGCAAGUGAAAACGUGAACAGCUACUGUCAAGCCUGCACUGGACUGUCAUCAGGCAUGGAUUGUACAGGCUUUUAAAAAAAUAAACUUCAGGGGCAGAUUUUAACAAAGAAAUUCAACAAUAAAUAUCACACUCAGUCUGUUUUGUUAUACCAAGGGUUUACCUGACCCCACAACUUAAGACCAGGCUGAGCCAUCUACAGAUCAUACGGAUAACAAUCAUCAGGCAGGGGCUUCUGGAUAUUGUAUCACUACACAUUGAUGCCCGGACUCAUGAAUUUGGCUGCCUAAAUGACAGAAUUGUGUUGGCUCUGUUUAUUUCCAUCAAACACUUAUAAGCUGUUAUGAUGACGAAUGGGGAAAAAUAUUGCUGGACAAUGGCAGCUGUAAUAAGCGUACGGGUAUGAAAUGCAAAGAAAUUACUGUAGACAAGCUCAAUUUAUCCAGAGGGAGGGCAGAAUAUGAACUUUUGCCUACAUGGAAUAAUUUCUGGGCUUCUGAUAUGAUCCUGCAAGCUAAAAAGAAGGCAAAGAGCUUUCUUAUUUUAUAUUUUAGGUUAGAAGUCAUUACGUUAGACACUGAAGCACAAUUGCAAUGCUGAGAGGAGUGCAUUUUAAGAAAUUUAGAUCAUUGUACAUUUUGGAAGGAAAACUAGAAGAAGGUUAGAUUUAGCUCAACUUUUGAGUCAGUAAAAUAAUUACAAGCACUUUGUUUGUAAUAAUGGCGAAUGUUGGGGUGUAUGUCAACAUAAACUUGCAUCCACAGCAUCACCUCCUUUUACUUCCUCCUUCCCAAAUCUGCUGGUGGUGCUGGGAUGUGUGUGACGAUGCAAAUGGCAGAGGACUGGAGAAGAUAAGAGAACUGAAUGCAACGGCAGCGGGAGCGGAAAGAGGAGUUUGAGGAGGAGAUGUGUAGAGAAGAAAGCAAGACUGGGAAGAGAUUCCUCACAGAGUAAGACUUUGGAAAAAACAUAGAAAAGAAGACAUCCUCUCAGAAGAUUUGUGUGAUGUGCUGUGGAACUUCAAUGGACUGCCAGGAAAGAUCACCUCCCUUUUAAGGCUGGUUUUGAGACCUAUUUUUGUUUCUACUGGGUACAGCAGCAAACUGAGAUGAGCCCUAAGAGCUGCAUACAGGUUUAUAUUUUAGGAUGAAUAGGUUUGGGAUCCUUUUCUUUGUGCAUAUUUUAGCAGAAAAACAUAUUUAAAAAGAGUAUAACGAGUCCAUUUUAGAGUUUCAAUAGAGUUGCUAGAUUUAACAAAAAUAAAUGUCCAGUUAAAUUUGAAUUUCAGAUAAACAACAAAUAAUUGUUAGUGUAAAUAUGCCUAAUAUUGCAUGGGGUACACUUAUGCUAAGAAAUUUGUUAUCUGAAAUACAAAUUUAGCUGGACAGCCUAUAUUUUUACCUGCUAAAUUUGGCAAUUCUGCUGUAGGGUGGAGUAAAAGAUAGGCAAGGGGGAGAAGGGUGCAUCAUGAUCAUUAUCUUCUCUAUUUCUGAAGUCAGAACUUAAUUUGGCAGUGUUCUCCCUCUGGUUUUAAAAAAUGAGAAUUUUUUUUUAAGCGAUGGGUUCUCACUCUGUUGCCAAGGCUACGGUACAGUGGCACGACCAUAGCUCACUGCAUCCUGGAACUCCUGGGCUCAAGUGAUUCUCCCACUUCAGCCUUCCAAGUAGCUGGGGCUACAGGCUUGUGCCACUGCACCUGGCCAGAAUUUCUUCUAGUAAGAAAUAUGAAUGUUUGUUUACUAACAACUAGACAUCUGCUAGUAACAUGUUAAUAUAAAAUGAUUAAGGCCUGAAUACAUAAAAUUUAGGAGAAUAAAAAUCGAUUUCUUCAAAAGGUGAUUUAAUAUAGUUUAUCACCAAGAGCCGUAAAAGCUCCAAAUGACUUGCUAAUUUAUGUAAAGUAGAAAUUCUAUGAUGUGACUUUGUGAAUUUGCCUAACUAUAUAUCUGCAUUUACUAAAUUUCUAAAUCCACAAUACACUAGAAAAAUUGGUUGUCAUGUCAACUUUCAUGUGCUAUACUGAGAAACUUUAUUUUGUCUUUUUUUUUUUAAAAGCCAAUUACACAAUAAAGUCAAACAAAUUUGACUGCAGAAAAUGAAGAAACAGAUUCUUUAUAGGUCUUCUAUUGUAUAUGGAGUAAUAUUAACCAGCCACAACCAAACAUAUCCCUUUUGGCACCUUAUUACCAAAGAUGUGAC